ACUCCUACGGGAGGCAGCAGUGGGGAAUAUUGCACAAUGGGCGCAAGCCUGAUGCAGCGACGCCGCGUGGGGAUGACGGCCUUCGGGUUGUAAACUCCUUUCGCUAGGGACGAAGCUUUUGUGACGGUACCUAGAUAAGAAGCACCGGCUAACUACGUGCCAGCAGCCGCGGUAAUACGUAGGGUGCGAGCGUUGUCCGGAAUUACUGGGCGUAAAGGGCUCGUAGGUGGUUUGUCGCGUCGUCUGUGAAAUUCCGGGGCUUAACUCCGGGCGUGCAGGCGAUACGGGCAUAACUUGAGUACUGUAGGGGUAACUGGAAUUCCUGGUGUAGCGGUGAAAUGCGCGAUAUCAGGAGGAACACCGAUGGCGAAGGCAGGUUACUGGGCAGUUACUGACGCUGAGGAGCGAAAGCAUGGGUAGCGAACAGGAUUAGAUACCCUGGUAGGAUAGCGU
RNAcentral lists this ribosomal RNA (453 nucleotides) under uncultured bacterium. RNAcentral describes it as "bacterial SSU rRNA". It matches the Rfam family "Bacterial small subunit ribosomal RNA", at positions 335 to 802 of the family's 1533-position model. The record is from RNAcentral.